AGGCUUUGUCAUACAUCGUUGCGUGACUUAGUGAAGCUCAUAUCGGGGCCUGAGUACUAAUCUCCUGAUUUAAUAAUCUCUUGCUGUUUCGCUGGUGUUGCAGUGCUGAAGGUUCCCCUGUUGUUCGUUGAUAUUGUUCGGAUUCUCCAAGAAUAACAAACAGAUAAUGUCAACCAGCAGUCAACCAAGCUCGGACGCCACCAUUGUAAAAGUAGGAUGGCUUCAAAAAAGAGGCGAAUACAUAAAAAAUUGGAGACCAAGAUACUUUCAGUUAUGGAGUGAUGGCAGUUUUAUCGGUUACAAGGAACUUCCAAAAU
Long non-coding RNA from Stylophora pistillata, 317 nucleotides. The record is from RefSeq and is a predicted model, not a curated record. Lineage: Eukaryota; Metazoa; Cnidaria; Anthozoa; Scleractinia; Pocilloporidae.